AUGCCUCGUGGAAGCUGAAGCCGCAGCCGCACCUCCCGCAUGGCCCCUCCAGCCAGCCAGGCCCCUCAGAUGAGAGCUGCGCCCAGGCCAGCACCAGCUGCUCAGCCACCAGCAGCGGCACCCCCCUCUGCAGUUGGCUCUCCUGCUGCUGUGCCCCGGCAGCCAGGUCUGCUGGCCCGGGUAGCAACGACUGGGCCACGCCAUUACUGGGGGCUUCAGUGGAGGAAGUGAUCCUGAGCCGGAGAGGCCUGACAUCACUUACCAGGAGGCUCAGGGGACCAAGCUGGCACAGCAGCAGCAGUCUUGCUUCUAUGAGAUCAAACAGCUUUUGGAGUAUGCCCAUAACCAGGGUGACAUCAAGCUCUGUGAGGGUUUCAGUGAGGUGCUGAAACAGUGUCGACUUGCAAACGGAUUGGCCUAAUCAAGAAGUUCAACCUGGAGAAAUGGAAAACCAGCUCUCAUAACCAAGUUAAUUUAAUAUAAAAUUUUAAUUAAUAGUGAAGGUAUAAAGUAUAGCCAUCAGUUAAGCCUCUCCUGUCAUUCCUAGCUUCAUUGCUUCAGGAUUGAAAUGGAACGGGGUGUUCCUACUCUGUAGAAUUUGGAGCUGGUCAAAUGUUUGUGUGGCCUCCUUAAACUAGCUGUUAUGAUUUUAUUCUUUGUGAGUUAAUUAGAAUAAAGCGAUUUUCUUCCAAGAAAAAAAAUACAAAAAA
This is a non-coding RNA of Callithrix jacchus (white-tufted-ear marmoset), 710 nucleotides long. The record is from RefSeq and is a predicted model, not a curated record. Lineage: Eukaryota; Metazoa; Chordata; Mammalia; Primates; Cebidae.